Molecule: long non-coding RNA, 10417 nt
Organism: Brassica rapa (field mustard)
Lineage: Eukaryota; Viridiplantae; Streptophyta; Magnoliopsida; Brassicales; Brassicaceae
Source: RefSeq, a predicted model, not a curated record
CAGUUGUCGAAGAAUCAACCCUCCUCGAUUCGUUGAUUUGAGAUCUGCAAUAAAAAAGAACUGAAAUUAAGCCAAAACCCACUUUAGAUACGAUGAUGUGUCAGCUGAAUGGUAGUAGUAUAUUCGAGUUGUGAUCUGCAUUUUUUUUUUUUUUGGGAUACCACGAAUGGAACUAGUGGGGUGAUUUAUAUACAAAUAUAUAAAAUCAAGAGAAAAGGUGAUGAAUUUUUAUUAAGUUCAAAAUCAGUCUUUGGGCUUGGAUUGAACCAACCCAGGCCGUUAAGCCCAUCUACGACCCUAACAUGCAAGCUUCUAGUAAUGGUCUGGAUCUGCUUUUAGGCUUUUAGCCCGUUUGUUACCUCAUCCAUUUUGCUGUGAAUUAUCUUUGCUGAGAAUAAUCUAUCAUCUUCUUUCAUUUUAUUUUUGCCAUAAUUUCUAGACUUGUUUUUUUUGCUAAAAUAUAAUUUCUAGACUUGUUAAUGUUACUAAUACUCUUUUACUAUAUUUUCACUGAAAUUUAAAGUCUAUAGAUGCAGUUCGCAAUAGCCUUGGUUUUUUUUUUUUUUUUUUUUCUCAAAUUGAUUUUAGAUAAAUAAAGAGACAAAGCCCAUUAACCUUACAAAGGCCCACGGCCAACCGACACAAAGGCCCAAGGCCCAAUCCGAAAACCACAAAAACAUACAAAGCAAGAUGGGCUUGAGCCCAGUCCAAGCCCAUCAUCCCGCGGAAACCCUAGACACAGUCGGUCAUUUGCCCUUCCACCUCCAUGCAAACGGCGUCGCCGGAAUCUGAAACGGCGUCGCCGCAAUAGCCUUGGUUUAAUAUGUGGUUAACUGAGAAUCUAUAUAUAUAAAGUAGAGUUCCCUCUCUCCAGGGUCCUACACGUCAGAUUCCACCUAAGAAAUUCAGGUCUUCUGGUGUCAACACGUGUCUUCCUACAAUAAAACUCUACGUUUCAUUUUCUGCUUCACACACUUCGGGUGAUUUCGCCAUUAACUUCAACCAUUAUUUCUUUCUUAAAAACAUAGAACUGACAAAAUCACAGAGCACUCUUAGACUUCCCUUAUUAUUAAUGUAUUCAUUAGAUUCUUCAAGUUUCCUUUACAGCUUCUCCAAUUCGUUUCUUUUUGCUUUUAGAUUUUCGAUUUUAUAAGAAUUCUUCAAUCCUCCGAUUUCUUUUGAAACGCCUGAGACGAAGAAACUGGUGACAAACUAUGGAUACCUCCCGAGAGAUCCAACUUUCGUCUCCGUGUCAAGAAAGAAAACAAGUUAAUCUAGAAACAGACAUCUUUGCUUGGCCUGCGGAAUCUCCAUCUUCGGCAGCGGCGGCUCUGACCGGCUUGAUAAUAUCUAUUUUCUCUGGCCAUCUAUCGCGUAGGGUUUUCUGAUUCUUCGAUCUAAAGGAGACAAAACUGCUUAAAUCGGCGUGACACUUCGGUUUGUAAAGGGUUUCGAUCACGUCCUUACACCAAUCUGAACAAAUUCUUCCAGAUUCAUCGCAUUAAAAAGGUAUGCUUUCAUUCUCUCCAAAUCAUCUACAUCUUUGAAUCACUUUUUUUUGCGAAGCAUAAAGAAUCAAUAUUCAGGAUUCGGACAUGGUGAAGAUCGCUCCUAGAAAUCCAGAAAGGUUGAAUCUUUGUAUCCUUUUAUGUAGUUUAUGUACCCAUUUUCAUUGACUCCAUAGGUGUCGUACCUUGAGAUUAAAAGUCUUUGAGAGAUUUAAGAAACAGUUCGAGAGUUCUCUGCAGAUGUACGGAUCAUGUUUCUUAGUAAAAACCUUUAAUUGUUUGUUUUUGUUGUGUUCUGCUCAGGUUUAGUGUUCAACAUGUUCUUCUUUUUUUUCUUACAGAACAGGAGAGAGACCAUGAUCAAGGAGAGAAUCAGAAACUGAGUCUAUAUCAAGCCUUUAGUCUAAAGACCCUCCUUGCAGAUUAUCUGCUUCUGAUAGCUUACAAAGGUACACAAAUCUCCCAACACCAUCUUAUGUACACACAAAAAAAAAUCUCUGCUCUGUUUGGUAUCGACUAUCUGAGUCACCCUUUGCUUAUAGUUAAAUGUAUGAUUAAUAAGAAGGCCAUUUUCUGCAUCCCAAGGAUCGGGUGACUCAUCAUCAUCAUUCCCUUACUUUAUUGAACUAAAUUGUUUCAUGAUAUCUCAUACUAAAGACUAUUGCAGAUAGAAUAAGCGGGUGUGUUCGAAUGCGCAUAGUGGCUUUGAUAGUUUCUGCCUUUGAGUUAUCUUCCCUUAAGUGUCGUUACUGUGCUUCAGUGUCAACUUAUAUCGUUUGGGGACACUCAGAUCUCUUUAUUUCCAUUCACGUUCUUAGUAAGACCUUAUUGUGUCUAAUUUAUGAGCUUCUUACUGAGGCUUUUCUGGACUUUAAGCUACUGAUGAAUCUCAUGUGUAUUUGUGCUUCUAAAAUUGGAAUGUAUUCCUCUUGAGUUUUUGUGAAUCGAUUUAAAUGUUAUUGGUCAUAAUUGGAUCGGUAUUACAUUGCCCUUCAACGAAUCGUAAUUCACAAUGUGAACAUACAUACGUUUGUGAACAUACAUACAUACAAAUUGUGAAGCAUUCAUAGUCUUCUCUAUUAUUCCAGCCUCCACAAUAAGACUUUCUCAAGUAAUGAAGUGUUACGAUCUUUUUUUUGCAGCUACAUACGUUUGAGUUGCUAUUAUAGUUAAUGUGCACAUUAAGAUAAUGCAGAGAUGAAUGUCUGAAUCUCAGUUUUCAGUUGCAAAAGCUGAGGAAGAUAAUGAUGAAAAGCAUAAACCAUCAACUCAGGCUCUCAGCUAUCAUAAUGUUUCUCAGGUCUUUCUCUGACUUCUCUUUCUCUAUAUUUUUAAUUGUCCCAAAAUUUUUAGGUAAGAUAGACAAUGCUAUUCAUUCACUAAUUUUCCUGGUGCAUCUUUGAAGAAUCUUCUGAACACAUGUGUCCUUAUAUACUUCUACAGUGUUUAUUCUAAUGAUGGUCCUAAGCGAACAUACUUUAUUCUGGGAUUACAAAACUUGAUUUCCUAAAAUCUAUCUUCACUCUAAACUAGUGAAGAGUAUCACUCUAAACAGCAUAUUUUAUUUAUCUGUGUAGUACAUGGGAUUUCCGUUACGUCUGGUUUCAAUCGCUCUCUCUCUCUCUCUCUCUCUCUCUCUCUCUCUCUAUGUGAUCUAGCAUAUAUGUGUCGUAGCUGUAAUGUAUUGUAUGAUCUCUCAAAUAUUUCUGUAGUAAUGGACUUCACAUAUGGAAAAAAAUGCUGUUAUUAGUUGAGAACAUGUUAGUGUCAAUUUGGUUUCACCUGUUGACUUCAUCAACUGGUCUAACUAUUUUUAUUUGGUUUCAGUCUCAAUCUGUUCAUUCAUAGCAGGAAUUCAGAGUAGUUAUACCAAGACCUAAGCUUUUACCAGGCUUACAUGUUCAAAGCACCUAUGGUUACAGUAAAAAAUGGUUCUUCCUCUCGGUAUGGUCUCAUGCUCAACUGACAUUAGCCUCCCACUGUGUCAUGUAAGUCUCAUUAUCCAAGCAUCUGAUAUAUUAGCUUAAACCUUACUGUCUUGAAACUCUCAUGAUUCACCUAUAAUAUUUUGGUUAAUAAUUGAAGGUAAGUUAUAAUUUGUGCUGACAAAAAAAGUUAAAAUUUCUUUAUUUGUUAUGAAGCUCUGUUUUUCUAUCCUCCAUUUCAUUUUUUGGUCUACAGAAACAGCUAUGUGGUAACAAUGCAGCCAGUAUCCGCAAUGUGUGAUUGGCAAGUUUGGGCAUACCUGCAAAUUUGUUCACUCCAUGAGCUCUUAUUCUUCUUCCUUAAGCUACAGCCCGAUGGUUUCUUCAGUCAUUGACAUGCCCCUCACACCUUACCCUCUUGAGUCCUCAUUGCUCUAGCACCCUCUUGAGUCCUCAUUGCUCAGCACAUUAGCUCCAUCAUCAUCAUCCUCAGAUGAAAACGCACAGAGCUUCACUCUUCGAGCUCCAAGAAAACUCAAAACCACAACACAAGUGGUGGCUCUGAACCGUUGCUGCUGAAGUCUCUCCGGCUUCUUCUUUGACAACCAGCCUGAGCCAUUCUGAUCCUGCUAAGACCAAAAAGAAUACCCAGUUAGCAUUGAGUUUAAGACUUAGAAGUUAAAGAUACAAAGCUCAAAAGGGAGAACCUCACUCUACUUCUUCUAUUGUUCCUCUAUUGCUCUUUUCUUUUUAUCAAACUUGCAUGAACUGAGGACAUGAAAGAUGUCUAUAAACUAUAAACAUGUUUGGGACCAAGUAAGAUAGAUUGAACUAUAAUGAGUUUUUUUUUUUAAUAUAUGAAAAAAAGGAACUAAAAAUAUUUGUGUAUAGCUUUGAUAAAAAAACUGAUCAUUGUAAUUUUUUAUGCAUAGCUCUUGCAUUUCGUUAAGUUUCUUUCAUGAUCAAAAUUUGUGUAAUGUUUUACUACGAAUCUCUUUAACUUUAUACUCUUAAAUAGUAUGGCUAAAAAAAUACAGCAAAUACAAAUAUAUGCAAAUUGUUUAAAAACAUCUGUAUAAAUACACUAUUAGGCGAGAGUGCACUGCACUAAAAUUAUAUACCGAUUGCUUGAUCAAGAAGUUAUUACUAAACCAAGAUGAAUAUAACAAAACCAAAAAAAUUUGAUCCCACAAUAUCCGAAAACGUUAUACACGUUUGUCAAGCCCAAACAAGGCUACAUUAACAAACGUAAUAGUCCAAUGUCUCUAACGGCCCUUAAUUUGUUGAUAAAAUGUGCCACUUAUUACUUCAAACCGAAAAUACCGUGAUAUAUCAAAAUAUCAAAUGUUAUUGUAUCUAGAAAAUAUAAUUUUUUAUAGAAAUUAUGUACUGGUUUAAAAAGGUCAACUAUAGUUUCAGCAAUGAUAUGAAAAUAGAAAAUAUAUAUAGUUUCAUAGUACGAACGAUAGACCAAUAUAAAAGAACCCGGCAAAAAAACACAAAAAACAAAAGAAAAAUUAGAUGAUUAAAACAAAUAGAUUAAAAUAUCCACACAACCAUAAUAAAAUAGAACUUAUCUCUAUUCAAUUUGAGAAAUUACCACAAAUACCAUAUUCGUAGUACUAUUUAUUAUGUUUACACUAACUAAUUUUACCCCCACUUUUAAUGAAGAAUAAAAAACAUUUAUAUCCUAAGGUUAACUAAUCUAAACUUAGGGUUUUAAGUUAAAGAGUGAGAUAGGUUUUUUGAAAUGUGAAAUUUAAGAUUCUAAAAAAUAUAUAAAUAAAUACUUAAAAAAUAUUUAAAUAUUUUAAAAAUAGUUUCAAACACAAUUUUCAAAAAAGAAAUUUUUAAAAAAUAAAAAAAAUUAUUAGGAUAAUUUUAAAUAAAAAUAGUUUAUUAGUAUAAUUUGUAUAUAUUAUUACAUUUUCUGAAUUAUUUUUUUUCUAAUUUUGUUUCCUCUAAAAAUAGAGAACAAUGAAAGUUACUCUCAUCUUAAUUCAAACCAAAAAUAUUUAUUAAAAACAAUAAUUUGAUCUCAAAAUUAUUUUAUUGUUUGUUUCUCUAUAAUAUCAUUUCUAUAAUGAUUUUAAAUGCUUUAUAAAUUAUUAUAAAAUUAUAUAAAAUUGUUUUUAUUAUAACUUCCCGCCCGUAGGGCGGGCCGACCCUAGUAUCCUAUAAGGUAUAGUAUCUUAUUAUGUAUCAAUGAAAGAUUAGUACCCUAUAUUAUUCGACCUACGAGUUAUUUUACAUAUGAUGACUUAAGGCAGGGACUCGGACCACACUACCAACUUUCAAAAUAUGCAUGCAAUAGUUGUAAUAAAUAUAACCAGUGCACGACAAAAUCUCGUUCUUUUUACUAGAACGAGACUAUGGAUAUUAAUUAGGGAUACUAAAUACACGAUCGAGUUAUAUAGCACAUCCUCAUGCAUCAUGCAUGCAUGCAACUACUUUGCUUUGAAACUACUUUAUCUCACUGAAAUUUUAAGACUAUAGGCAGCUCGCAAUAGUCUCCAUUUAAUUUUAACUGAGAAUAUCCUAGAGGUAUAGUAUCGUUUGUUAUCUUUCGUGUUACAAAAAUAGUAUAUUUUGUUAUGUGCCGAUGAAAGUUAAUUAUUAUCCCAUAUUAUUCGACCUACGACUUCAUUUACUUCGGAUGACUUAAGGUAGGAUUAGGACCACACCAGCAACUUUUGAAAUAUGCAUUAGUUUUGUAAUAAGCAACCAGUGCGCGACAAAAUCUCGUUCUUUUUACUAGAGCGAGACUAUAGAUAGUGACAAUAAAUAUUACCCCCACGAAUCAUAUAUGUACAUGGAACCUCAUGCAUGCAACUACUUUGCUUUUAAAACUCUUUUCUUUUGUCUCCUGGCCCGUGGGACCACAUAAUAAACAAGUUCUGACGCUAAUUACAAUCAUUAAACAUAAGCAAGAAGAUUAAUUAUGACUAAGGAAAUUUGCAAGGAAAGAACCUUAGACGAUGGUGGAUGUUGUCGAUCAUUUUAGUAUAAUGACAACUUAGGUUUAAGUACCAAGUUGUAACAUAGAAAACGAAUCUGCAUGACGUAGAGCGACCAAGUAUUGAUUUGUGUUGUUUAGAUCAGACACGUUAAAGCCAGCAACCUACUGACUUAGUUCUGGUUGUUUAUUAAGAAUGGUCACCAACUAGAAUGUGCAAGAGGUAUAGCCUUUCAGGGUAAGUUAUUUCGAAUCACAACGCAUGAUGUUAAAACGUUCCUGAACAUUUAGAAUAUUUUGCGACACUCUUUUACAAAAUUUGGAUGCGUGAUCGUAGAGUUUUGUAGCGUUUCACCACUGUCUUUUUCAUAAAUUUAUUUAUUAAUUUUAAACUUAAAAUCCGAAUAGAAAUAGAGAAAAAUAUGUUCCUAUUUGGCAUUUGCUUUUACAUAUUCCUAAUGUUUUUUUUUUAUUUGAUGAGAAUCUUUAAUGGAAAAGGUAUUUCAAUUCCUUUUUAAAAAGUUCAUAUAAACACAAACUGAAGCAACUGGUACUAUUUUUCCCUAAACAUUUUCAGAUAAUUCUAUUUCCAAUAAUACACACACACACAAUAAUACAAGCUGUUAUACCGAUUUUUUUUUCUCAAUAUAAGGAUUAACUGGAAAUUUUGCCGUGUUUUAUUUUGUCUUUUGUGAUGUAAACGCAUUGGAUUUAGAAAAGGAUGCUUUUGUGCGUUUAAUUAAAUUCACGUGCAGAUUCAGAAUUCAUAGGCUCUUGGGAUUAAUCCUAAGUCACAAUCUUAUAAUUAAUCGCAUCCUAUAAAUGGAGUGUGCCCUUUCUUUUUCUUUUGUUAUUUUCUUAACAAGGAGUGUGCCCUUUCAACCUUCAAACUAUUCGCCACAUUACAGAUACCGAUCGAUAACUAGUAUUAAGCUAAAGAAAAUAGUACCAUUAAGCAUAAAAAUUGUGCUGCUAGAUAAUUAUUACUAUGUUUGAAAUAAUUUUCUUUUGAUAAAUAUUGUACGAUUAUUCGAGCAAUGUAUAAUUGGAUCACGUUUUUUAGCAAUACAUUACGAUUAAUCUUGUUUUGUCGGUGUCAAAGAGGAGAGAGAGAACACCUGAGCUCAAUCAAGGGUUAGAUAUAUAGAUCAUAUCUUAUUAUUGUUUAAUCAUCUUUAUAUACAAAAUAUGUGAUUCUCAGAUUUUAAUCUUAUUUUUUUAGCAACUCUCAUAUUUGAAUUUAUUACCCAAUUUGUUGACAAAAAACUAUUACCAAAUUUAUAUAUGUAGUUAGUUAUAGAUAUAAUAUAAUUUAUAAAAUAGUAACAAAAUAUAAAACAAUUAAGUUUGUUAUUUAAAAUACAUAUAUGUAUAAAAGUUUAACUGAUAAUUAUUUUCGACCAUAAUACUACAAGUAACUGAACACCUGAGCUCAAUCAAGGAGUAUAUUUUUAUACAUUAUCAUUAAUUUUAAUUAUUAAUUAAUUACAAGUAAUGAUUUCAAUCGAAACAAGUAAACACAUUAAAGUAUGGUGAAUAGCAACUGUAUAUACGAUUUUUUUUUUUUUUGCGUAAAAUGUUAAAUACUGUAUAUACUAUUUACAAUAUUGAAUUUUGUAUGUAUCACAAAAUUAAUUGUUCUACAAGAAUUAUGUACAUUCAUUAGAGUUAUGUUCUUUAACAUAUACAACCAUGCACCAUCGUUUUCCUACAUGCAUUAAGUUAGAAUAUGGGAUAGUAUCAUAGUACUUUACAUAGAUUUGUAUUUUUCUGAAAAGUGAACCUCAAUAUAAUAUAAAUCUAACCUCAGGAUUAUACAAAUAUUAAAAUGUCUUUAGCCACACUAGUUAAUGGCGUUCACACAAUUAUAUAUUUUGACAUAUACUAUAUCCAGGAUAUUGAUGAGCAUACAUACAUAUACACACUAGAAACAAAUUAAAUUGCGAAAUAUAUCAGUGAAUCAGUAGAACUAUAUAGCUUCAUCAAAUUUAUGGUUUAUUAUGUUGUAAGAAAACCACAUAUAUAUUGCAUCUAAUUUCUAUGGAACAAAAACUAAAACCCGAGGGGAUCCAGACAAACCGAAACAACCAACAAAACGAAUAAACAAUUGAAUGGAAUGCUCGUGAAAUAAAGCUUAUUCUUCGCUGUCGAGUUAGAGAUCAUGUGCCGCGAGAGACACGCUGACCUCCCUCCAUUUAACACUUCUGAGCUCUCUCUAUAUAAACUAAUUAAAACAAAAUCUUUUUACAUGAAAUAAAAAGUAGUAUUAGAUCUUAUCUUUCUAAUAUAUAGUCCCUUCUAAAUAUAAUUAAGUUGUUUUCUAUAGCGACGAAAGUUGCGAUUGAUGGCUUGGGUUGACCUUGGAUAUGUAUUUAUGCUCACCCGGCAUUUCAAUUCAGUCUCCUUCAAUUCAGUUAUACAUAUUUACUAUAACUUAUUAUUCAUUCAUGGUCAAUCAUUUUAUUACAAGUUAUAUAUACACCAUUAUAAACAAUAGUUAUCACGCCUAAAAAAAAAGUGAUCACAAACAUUUUUAUUUAAAAGUUAUUUAAUUAUUUUUUCCUUUAUAAUACUAAAGGUUUCUAAAUUUAUAUAUAUAUAUAAUUAUGUAAAUCCGGUUAAACCGGUCCGACCAAUAGCCCAAUGAUAAUACCGAAUUAGUAACUGAUCCGGUUUUCAAAACAUUGUCUCUAGAUACUCCUGGUUCUUUCACCAUGUUCAAUCUUAUCCACAUAUAUAUAUAUAUAUAUAUAUCAUACUUGUUUGAUGAUUUAAUAUGGAAUUAUCGAGAAGAUGUCUCUAAUUUAUAUCGUUAUCUUUUGUAAUUCAGUGGGUAAUUUAAUUUAUCUUGGAAAAUGUUUUAAAUAAAGGUGAAUUUGUUGCAUAGCUAGUUUUAAUGAUACAAGGACAGAAUCACAAACAAUUACCUGUUUUAUGUGAUUUACAUAAAUAAUGUGAUUUGAUGUAAAGCUAGAUUAGUUUCAUAUACGUAUGUAAGAAUUAUGUUUUUCAUAUUUUAUAACAUAGUUUUAUUCUAGUGACAUAGUUUGUUUUCUUAAAACGGUAAAUCUUUACCUCUUUUCAUAUUUUCUUAUCGCCAGUUUUUAAAAACCAUUUUAUGAAUGAUAAUGGAGAUUAAAAAAAAAUGAUAACGGAGUUCACUUUGUACCAGAGCAUUACAAUUAAGUUGCUUUUUAAAAAAACUUUACAGUUAAAUUAUUCUAAAACAAAAAUUACCAAAAGGGUCGCCUGCCAUAUGUUUCUCCAGUGUAUUAAAUAUGAGAUCUGUUGUUUCAUCCUCCACAGCACACACUUCAAGUUUCAAAACAUAUUUCCUUUUCUUUCUGCCAAAUUACAUAUUUCUUUAUUUUAUUCGAUUGUUCUUAGGUCUGAGCACAUUUAUCUAGAACCUAAAAUUGAACCAAACCGAAAAACAAAUUUUGGUUCGGACUUAAGUUCUAUCAAUUAUACUAGUGGUUUAUAUAUCUUUAGAACCAAAAAAACUAGAAACGGAAUCGAAUCCGACAGAGAACAAAAAUUUCUAUAAUAUAGUUUAUAUAUUUAUAAAUAUUAGCUAUAUUUAGUUUUAAAAUAAUCAAAUAAUUUAAUAUAAUUUAUAAGUUGAAAUACCUAAAAAUCAAAUUAUUAUAAUACUUUUAUCCAAAAUAUUUGAAUUUAAUCCAAAAAAUUCUGAUUUUUUUUUUUAAUUUUAACCUAAAUUUAAUCAAAAAUCGAAACCGAAUGGGAUCCAAAAUUACUUUGCAUAUAAGCCUGUUCUUAAUUUUAUUAUGCAAACCGAACGAAAAACCGAAAUAAUUGAACCGAAAACAAACCAAACUUUCUAAAUAAUACUCUAACCGAUCCUAAACCUCUAAAAUCGAACAAUCGAAAAAUCAAACCGAUACCAAACCAAAAACCAAAUGCCCAAAACUAAUACGUUUAAUAAAGGAGAAAAUAUACAGGCUCAAAACUAGAAGGAACAUGCAAGUUACAUGUAUCAAGUUAAUAUCACAAACAUAUAAACCGCG